AGGAUCAUUCGCAAUGGGCGCAAGCCUGCCGAUGCGACGCUGCGUGGAGGAUGAAGGGCUUCGGCUCGUAAACUCCUGUCAUGAGGGAAAAAGCUCCCCGUUGUGAACAACGGCGGGGGUCGAUGGUACUUCAAGAGGAAGCCACGGCUAACUCUGUGCCAGCAGCCGCGGUAAUACAGAGGUGGCGAGCGUUGUUCGGAUUUACUGGGCGUAAAGGGCGCGUAGGAGGCCAUGUGUGUCGACCGUGAAAUCUCCGGGCUCAACCCGGAAAGUGCGGUCGAAACUGCGUGGCUCGAGCGGGGGAUGGGAAAGCGGAACUCAGGGUGUAGCGGUGAAAUGCGUUGAUAUCCUGAAGAACACCGGAGGCGAAGGCGGCUUUCUGGAACCCGACUGACUCUGAGGCGCGAAAGUGGGGGGAGCAAACA
Molecule: ribosomal RNA, 425 nt
Filed under: uncultured bacterium
Lineage: Bacteria
Description: bacterial SSU rRNA
Rfam family: Bacterial small subunit ribosomal RNA
Source: RNAcentral